ACUACAUAAUCUAAAAGCAAACCAAUCCCGGUCAAAGUGACUUGUUUUAAAGAAUCCCCACAUCCCCCAAUUCCCCCAGCAGCGUCUGGUAAACUGAUUGUUCUCUCUUCUUAUGCUAAAAUCACUAAUGUCUCCACAUUAUCACCUGGCCCUUCACAGCAAACAGUACCAACAGUAUCCGGGCUAACUGAGUCUCAUCCAAUCACGCUCCAGAUAUCUGGGUGGGGUUAUAUAUAUACUGUUUUCCUGACAGAAUCUUCAUUGAUUUUUUUUAUUUUUUUGUGAAAUAAAAUUCUAAAACCUUGAAGGACAAACUGCUUUUUGAGAUUCCUACAUUGCCUACAAGGGACCACAUACAACAAAGCCUACUAAGGCCAUUUCUCAUCUCUUUUUUCCAUUCAAGACUGAAAAGGAAAAUGAGACCCAGAAGAGUCUGUCCUGAAAAGGAAGCUUUAAAAUUCAUCGCAUCUGGGAAAGAUAAAGACACAUUUCAGUCAAGAGUCAAGAGAACGAUUGUUGAUGAACAGAAAAGAGCACAUUUGUGCAUUUGAGACCACAAACAUCACUACAGGAGAAGAAAUGAUGUUCGACUGCGGAGAUCCUGACUGCUCAUGGAGACAGGUAGCAGGAUGCUUGGUCCAUUACAGACGGAUGGGCAACACCCUCAUCUGACCACUACACCCUACACCCAGGAUCCACUUGGUCUGUCUCUACAUGUCAGAACGAGUAACUUCAGUCUUCAAUGGGAUGAAAAACUAAACAUAUCUUAAGCAGAAUGAUGAGCAAAUCAGUGGAAGAGCAUCCUACUAUUGAGGAAAGCCUUCAGGAAGUCAAAACUAUGUGCAAAGACUUAUUGUAGAGUUUACAAUAAGCAUUAAAAUGAUUGGAUAUAAGUAUUAGUGUGAAUUUACAGGUUUCGAUCACCAGUCUUAUCAAAUAUCAACCACAAACAGCUACAGCUCAGGAAAGACUUCAGCCUUCAGUCUUGGACACAUCAGUAAAUCACUAGUGCCAUUAAAUCAAAACGCAAGAGCCAGAAAGCCCUGGUCAGAAACAGAGGAAACUCAUAGAACACUGUUUCAAGAACUACUUUAAGGAAAUGAAGGCUCCUGGAAAAGUGGACUGUGAAAGAUGCAUAAAUGCAAACAGGAUUCUAAAGGAUAAUGGAAGAGACUGGAAAACAGUUAAAUACUUUGUGCUCAACAGAAUAAUUUCAGUUAAGAGAAGUUUGGGUGAACAGUACUGAGCCCAUAAACCCUGAGAGCGUGUGAUGUGGAGUAUCAGUGUUGAGUCCUAACUGUGCCGUGACACUGAAGGUCCAUGUACAUGCAGCAUCAGUGCGUCAUAGCAUUGAAAUGACUGACUACAGCUGUUUUCAGCUGCUGUUUGGGACUCUGUUUUAGACCUGUUAUAACUUUGAUUUAAGCCACUGUAAUUUUGAACUAUUUAAUUUUUUUUUAAAUAAACAAAUUUUAUUAUUUU
Carassius auratus (goldfish) is the source of this 1482-nucleotide long non-coding RNA. RefSeq lists it as uncharacterized. The transcript is spliced from 5 exons. The record is from RefSeq and is a predicted model, not a curated record. NCBI's taxonomy places the organism in Eukaryota, Metazoa, Chordata, Actinopteri, Cypriniformes, Cyprinidae.